GGGGGUGAUUCUGGAUUCGACCGGAAGUUACCUAGCCCGAGGUGCAUGUCGAGGGUGGAUCGGCCUCGUUAAAAAAUCCACUAAAAUAGUCGCAAACGACGAACAAAACUACGCUUUAGCUGCUUAAACACCAGCGUAAAGCCAUCGGUGUUAGCCCCUGCUAGUGUCGGCUAACAAAUCCGGUGUCAGUUUCCUCACUAGCUCGUGUGGAUGCCCCGCUUGUGGUUGAAGCAUUAAAUCCUUUACAAGCUGGAUAUUCAGUGGCGUGACUCUCCGCAGCUGGGUAUCGAGAUCAAAGAGAAGUCUAAGCAUGUAGUACUGACGGUGAAGUCUUUUGGGACGUGGGUUCAAAUCCCACCACCUCCACCA
Molecule: transfer-messenger RNA, 369 nt
Filed under: Succinivibrionaceae
Lineage: Bacteria; Pseudomonadati; Pseudomonadota; Gammaproteobacteria; Aeromonadales
Also listed under: 2 other names
Description: Anaerobiospirillum pullicola Standard tmRNA
Rfam family: transfer-messenger RNA
About the family: Bacterial tmRNA, also known as 10Sa RNA or SsrA, is named for its dual tRNA and mRNA-like properties.
Source: RNAcentral